Nanorana parkeri is the source of this 177-nucleotide long non-coding RNA. RefSeq lists it as uncharacterized. The transcript is spliced from 3 exons. NCBI's taxonomy places the organism in Eukaryota, Metazoa, Chordata, Amphibia, Anura, Dicroglossidae. The record is from RefSeq and is a predicted model, not a curated record.
CCAAGCUUUUGGGUGGAGUUGCGAACGCGUUUAUGGCGACCGGGAUCCUGUGCUGCCUCUGUACAUGCUUCUGUUGUAGACGAAACUGGAAGGAAGGACUCCAUAACAUCGGCAGCGGCAUCCUCCCCUUCAUAGAAGAAAAAAUAGGAGGAAAGAAAGACGCAGAAAAAGAAGAAG